Long non-coding RNA from Marmota monax (woodchuck), 2008 nucleotides. RefSeq lists it as uncharacterized. NCBI's taxonomy places the organism in Eukaryota, Metazoa, Chordata, Mammalia, Rodentia, Sciuridae. The transcript is spliced from 3 exons. The record is from RefSeq and is a predicted model, not a curated record.
UGCAACCUCUUCUAGUACUUGCAUCUCGGUGUCCCUUUCCUCAGGCUCCUGUGCAGCUUUUCAGGGUGGCAUGGCUCUUCUCGUUUGUCUGAGGAUGGCGCAUGGCUCUCCUUGUUCAGGAAGUCUGGGAGAGGGCAGCAAACCUUCACAGAGGGUCUGCUGAGCACUGCCCGGGGGCGUCGGCUGCUCCAGGGUGACCUCCACCACAGCUGUGUGUUUGCUUCUGCUUCAGCCCCUCAUGACGGAAAAUCCUGAUGGGUUUGUCUGCUCAGUGGUGACCUCCGACAGGGGGCUGGAGAGCUCCUGGGGGGACAAGGUCUUGCUGAGUUGCCUAGUGCCUUGCUGAGUCACUGAAGCUGGCUUUGAACUCACAACCUUCCUGCCUCAGCCUCCCGAGCCACUGGGAUUGCAGUGUGUGCCACCGCGCUGACAGAGGUUGGUCUUUCUAAAGCCCCUCCUCUUCUCCUUGUGGCCCUUGGGAAAUCCCAGGCUUGAGCUCACCUGCAGCAACCGCAUGUAAAAGUGCUUGGUUUCUUCUUGGAUUCUAACAUUUUUUUCAGGCAUCUGAUCUCCCUUCCGUUUCUCUUUCAGCCAUCUUAGGCUGGGGGAAGCUGCUGCAUGUCUCUUCCUCUCUUUUCCUCCAAGGGGGUGAGAUGCACAUUUAGCUAAAGGCCCUGGGGUGGGGACCUUCCUUUGUGAGUCUUCUGCUGUGGCUCUUCUGGAACCACCGUCCCUCCUGCGGACCUGACUUUGGUGGGAACAGCAGGUGUGCACGCUCCAGGCUGCUGUGUGUGCUGCUGCAUCAGAAGCUUUGCACAAACCAUUCCAGCUAAAUACAGCCAGCCUUCCUUUCUAGCUCCUUAGAAGCAAAGAGUCAAAUUUAAACGCUGACCCAGAAUGUUUGUGUGUGACCUUUCAACUUCAGUUCGAACUCCUGUGAUCAAAGCGAAUUCUCCAGCUCCGAGAUGAUUGGAGUACUUCUUUAACAGCUGUUUGCUAUUUUCUUCCUGAAAAAAAGAAUCAUUCAGAAAGGCCCAAUAAAUACAAGGAAUAAACUGCACUGAGGAAUGUUCAUAUCUGACAUUAAAAUGGGCCAUAUCCUGAGAAGAUGUGGGGAGUUGGAGAAGCUGAUUAUCCCCCUGUUUAAAUGGAGAUCAUCUUGUUUAAUUACCAAGAACAGGAGCUUCCUUGUCUGCCUGCUGUCUCUUGCUCACCUCAGGAAAUGUCCUGUGGAAAAUCACCGUUCAGACUGCACAUGCCUACUCUCACAGGAGUCGGUCUUUCUCCUGCCUUUCACGAUAAGCUUUAUUUCCAUUUUUGCUCUUUAGCAGAGCGGAGACCCUGCUUUCAUUGUUGAGCUAUUGGGCAGGUCAGACAGAAAAAUGAAAGCCCAUGAAAGUACUUUAAAAUAAACAAUAGGGCACCUGUGUCGGGUGGAGUAUUGUUUCUUCCUCUCCUCGUCAGCCUUUUGCUGGAAGGUGAAACAUUAGCCAAGCUAGACCUGUGUCCCAGGUGGCUUUGGGAAGACAUUCGCUGGGUGUUCUGAGAACGAAGGGCCCUUUGGACCGUUGGGAUGAAACCUCCAUUUCUUCCGAGUACCUUUCCUGCCAUUUUUGUGGACUUCUAUGCAGCUUCUCUGUGCUUUAGUUUGAUUGGCUUUAAAAUUGAGGAGGGGGAGUCUUUAGCUCAGAAACUGCAUGCAUUGUCACCUUGAUGAUUUCUUGGUCUCCUCUGUCUCCCAAACCCUAAGACGUCUCCAUUUUCCUAGAGUCGGGAUUCUAAGGGAGGCCUGCAUCCCACUUGGAUAGACUGGACAGACGGUUUCAGGGUAGGCCUAGGACGGCCGGACCCCUCUCUGGAAGUCCUGGCAGUAUGGGCUGGGUGGGUCCUUUUGAAGGAGACAUUUCACUUCUGUAUUUUAAGGUAAAUAUGAAAAUAUUGCACAUACAAAUUGUACUGAUUUUUAAAAAUUAUCUGCUGUGUUUUUAUCAUUAUUUGUCUUCCAUUA